ACAUGUAGGUAUCUGCCCUUUGGCCUGGAAUAACACGAGGAAACUUGUGCUAAUACCGGAUAAGUCUUUACGGAGAAAGCUUUAUGCACCAUUGGAUGAGCCUGCACUUGAUUAGUUUGUUGGUGGGGUAAUGGCCUACCAAGACUGUGAUCAAUAGCUGAUUUGAGAGGAUGAUCAGCCACAUUGGGACUGAGACACGGCCCAAACUCCUACGGGAGGCAGCAGUGGGGAAUCUUGCACAAUGGAGGAAACUCUGAUGCAGCGAUGCCGCGUGAGUGAAGAAGGCC
RNAcentral lists this ribosomal RNA (287 nucleotides) under uncultured bacterium. RNAcentral describes it as "partial 16S ribosomal RNA". It matches the Rfam family "Bacterial small subunit ribosomal RNA", at positions 113 to 416 of the family's 1533-position model. The record is from RNAcentral.